CUCGAGCUAGCUGCACCAUAGUACCACAGCCCCGUCUGCGGCGAUUUUACCGAAAGCCUAAAUAUCAGCAGAAAAGGGAAUUGCUUUCAACAUGGUGGAAGGAAUACCGGUAGCUUUUAUUCCUUCCUGCAUGCUGUCAAAGAGGUUUGCGAUCCCCACAUGCCAGUUUAGUGUCAGAUAUUUCUCUUGUGGAUGGAUGGAAGCAGUCUUGUAUCACCCAAUCAUCCCAAAUGCGUGUGUGUGCUUCCUGAGCAGCAAGGUCAAGCCAUCCAUGAAGUCUGGAUCCCCGUAUCAAGUGUGGGUAGCAGUGGAGAAAUAAUCUUCCAAAGGACCAGGUGGCAAAGUGUUAUCUUUAUACUGUACGUGCCCAGCUGAGUAAUUACAUUUAACCAUCAUGAUGUCAGCAGAUUGUAACAUAUUAUUUUCACAUGUAUGAUUAUUGAGGACAUGUAUGCGUUGAAAGUCCUGAAGAAGGUUAUAUAGUGAUAUAUUCGGCACACAUGCAUCUGUUGGCAUUACAUACAUGUACCCAUUGUUACAAAGUCACCGCAUGUCUCGGCAAACAACGCAAUCAGACAAAAAUGAAACAUUUGGGAAAAGAACACACUGAUAAAAGAUGAUCGGAAUAAGUGGAUUUUCUUUGGAAUCAGAAUUAAGAUUAUUUUAAUUAUUUACAAAUUACAAAUUACUACAAAUGGACUAAAUAAAUGGACCAGGUGUGACAACAGCAAUUCUUUGUACAGUAUAAAUAACAUAAAUUUCAAAUCAUACGUUUGGCCAUUGGAAAAGAAAGGGAGGUACCUCCGGGUGGGAAUCUGACCCGAGCUUGACCGUCCAUUCGGGAGUCGCAAAACUGGAACGCGAUAGAGUUUGGAAACAUCCGGCACCAUCAUUUGAGAGUUGCACCUCAGUGCUGGCCCAGAACAAGGACAGCGGUAAGCGUGGUCAUUGCUUAUAGCAAGGGAUCAUGCCCCCGGCACCAUCAGCUGAGAGUUGCACCUCAAUGCCGGCCCAGAACAAGGACAGUGACCGCCAAAAAUUUUGUUGAGUCGGUUUCAAAGCGGAAUGUAGAAUUCACACCAACUUCCAGCAAAACAAAAAUAGCAGAUACAUUUGACCACCUAGACAAAGCAGUGAGAAGAUAUGCACCGGACUCCUGCUACCGACAGCUGAUGGAUGCCAUGCCAUUUCCAAAGAAAGAAGCUGUAUUAAGACCUUCAACUUUAAUAGCAAUGGCUAAACAGCCUAUGAAGAUGCUACUGAACUUAUCAGCAAGGUGUGUUUGACCAAAGGUGAUAUCAAUACUGUGUGUGAACUCACAGUGAAUCAGUCAUCUUCCAAAGAGUGGCUGGAACAUCUGCAAGGAAGGAUAACUGCAAGCAAAAUUCAAAAUGUAUUUACAAGGGUCGCAUCGCUGAAGAGAGACCCAACACUUAAUAGCUCCUCAUUGAUCAAAGCAAUAAUGGGUUUUAAAAAUGUUCCCCAAACGGUUGCUAUAAGGUAUGGUAGUUCAACUGAACCACAUGCAAAACAGGCAUAUAAGAAGACAAUGGCUAGACAACACAAGAAAUUUCAAGGAAAAGAUAGCGGUCUGAUUAUCUCUCACAAGAAGCAGUUUCUUGGAGCAUCCCCAGACCUCAUAAUUUC
This 1647-nucleotide long non-coding RNA is filed under the name Acanthaster planci (crown-of-thorns starfish). Its description in RNAcentral is "uncharacterized LOC110986857". Lineage: Eukaryota; Metazoa; Echinodermata; Asteroidea; Valvatida; Acanthasteridae. The record is from RNAcentral.